This 1328-nucleotide ribosomal RNA is filed under the name metagenome. RNAcentral describes it as "bacterial SSU rRNA". It matches the Rfam family "Bacterial small subunit ribosomal RNA", at positions 48 to 1370 of the family's 1533-position model. The record is from RNAcentral.
CUAAUACAUGCAAGACGAACGAGAAAAUCCGACUUCGGUUGGAUGAGUAAAGUGGCGAACGGGUGAGUAACACGUGGGCAAUCUGCCCUUAAGUCGGGGAUAAGCUCGGGAAACUGGGUCUAAUACCGGAUGAUAUCUUCGAAUGGCAUCAUUUGAAGAUCAAAGGCGGGGUAACCUGCCGCUUGAGGAUGAGCCCGCGGUCCAUUAGCUUGUUGGUGGGGUAACGGCCUACCAAGGCGACGAUGGAUAGCCGGCCUGAGAGGGUGAACGGCCACACUGGGACUGAGAUACGGCCCAGACUCCUACGGGAGGCAGCAGUAGGGAACAUUGCGCAAUGGACGAAAGUCUGACGCAGCGACGCCGCGUGGGUGAUGAAGCUUUUUGGAGUGUAAAGCCCUGUCAGUGGGGAAGAACCGCAUGAGGAGUAACUGCCUCAUGCCUGACGGUACCCGCAGAGGAAGCUCCGGCUAACUCCGUGCCAGCAGCCGCGGUAAUACGGGGGGAGCGAGCGUUGUUCGGAUUCACUGGGCGUAAAGGGUGCGUAGGCGGUUAUAUUAGUCGGGUGUUAAAUCCUGGGGCUCAACCUCAGGCUCGCAUUCGAAACGGUAUAACUAGAAGAAGUCAGAGGUAAGCAGAACUCUCGGUGUAGGGGUGAAAUCCGUUGAUAUCGAGGGGAAUACCAAAUGCGAAGGCAGCUUACUGGGACUUUCUUGACGCUGAGGCACGAAAGCGUGGGUAGCGAACGGGAUUAGAUACCCCGGUAGUCCACGCCCUAAACGCUGUCUGUUGGCUUUGGGGGGAAUCGACCCCCUCCGAGGCGAAGUUAACACGUUAAACAGACCGCCUGGGUAGUACGAGCGCAAGCUUAAAACUCAAAGGAAUAGACGGGGGCUCGCACAAGCGGUGGAUCAUGAGGCUUAAUUCGUCGAUAAGCGAAAAACCUUACCGAGGCUAGAAACUAUACUGCACGCCCAGGGAAACUUGGGAAUCCUUCGAGGGUGUAUAGCAGGUGAUGCAUGGCCGUCGUCAGUUCGUGGCUUGAGCUGUUCCCUUAAGUGGGGAAACGAACGCAACCCUCGUUGCCUGUUACAAGUGUCAGGCGAGACUGCUCCCUCACGGGAGAGGAAGGUGAGGAUGACGCCAGGUCAGCAUGUCCCUUGAUGCCUCGGGCUGCACUCGUGAUACAAUGGGUACUACAACGGGACGCAAUACCGCAAGGUGGAGCAAAUCCUAAUAAAAGUAUCCUCAGUUCGGAUUGUGGGCUGCAACUCGCCCACAUGAAGUCGGAAUCGCUAGUAAUCGUGAAUCAGCACGUCACGGUGAAUACG